RNAcentral lists this ribosomal RNA (494 nucleotides) under uncultured bacterium. RNAcentral's name for it is "bacterial SSU rRNA". It matches the Rfam family "Bacterial small subunit ribosomal RNA", at positions 117 to 624 of the family's 1533-position model. The record is from RNAcentral.
GUUGGGAACUUCCCUAUGGUUCGGAAUAGCUCAGGGAAACUUGAGGUAAUACCGGAUUAAGCCCUUCGGGGGGAAAGAUUUAUCGCCAUUGGAUGGGCCCGCGUAGGAUUAGCUAGUUGGUGAGGUAACGGUCACCAAGGGAGAUCCUUACUGGUCUGAGAGGAUGAUCAGCACACUGGGACUGAAACCGGCCAGACUCCUACGGGAGGCAGCAGUGGGGAAUAUUGGACAAUGGGCGCAAGCCUGAUCCAGCCAUGCCGCGUGAGUGACGAAGGCCUUAGGGUUGUAAAGCUCUUUUGUCAGGGAAGAAACGGUGGUUUCUAAUACAGAUCACUAAUGACGGUACCUGAAGAAUAAGCACCGGCUAACUUACGUUGCCAGCAGCCGCGGUAAUACGUAGGGUGCAAGCGUUAAUCGGAAUUACUGGGCGUAAAGCGUGCACAGGCGGUUUUGUAAGUCUGUCGUGAAAUCCCCGGGCUCAACCUGGGAAUUGC